Molecule: ribosomal RNA, 468 nt
Filed under: uncultured bacterium
Lineage: Bacteria
Description: partial 16S ribosomal RNA
Rfam family: Bacterial small subunit ribosomal RNA
Source: RNAcentral
GACGAACGCUGGCGGCGUGCUUAACACAUGCAAGUCGAACGGAAAGGCCCUGCUUUUGUGGGGUGCUCGAGUGGCGAACGGGUGAGUAACACGUGAGUAACCUGCCCUUGACUUUGGGAUAACUUCAGGAAACUGGGGCUAAUACAGGAUAGGAGCUCCUGCUGCAUGGGGGGGGUUGGAAAGUUUCGGCGGUUGGGGAUGGACUCGCGGCUUAUCAGCUUGUUGGUGGGGUAGGUGCUUACCAAGGCUUUGACGGGUAGCCGGCCUGAGAGGGUGACCGGCGACCUUGGGACUGAGAUACGGCCCAGACUGCUACGGGAGGCAGCAGUGGGGAAUAUUGCGCAAUGGGCGGAAGCCUGAUGCAGCAACGCCGCGUGCGGGAUGCCGGCCUUCGGGUUGUAAACCGCUUUCGCCGGUGACGAAGCGUGAGUGACGGUAAUGGGUAAAGAAGCACCGGCUAACUACGUG